UACGUAGGGGGCGAGCGUUGUCCGGAUUCAUUGGGCGUAAAGCGCGCGUAGGCGGCCUGUCGCGUCAGCGGUGAAAGGUGUGGGCUCAACCCGCACAUUGCUGCUGAUACGGGCAGGCUCGAGGCUGGAAGAGGAGAGUGGAAUGCCCUGUGUAGCGGUGAAAUGCGCAGAUAUAGGGCAGAACACCCGUGGCGAAGGCGGCUCUCUGGGACAGUUCUGACGCUGAGGUGCGAAAGCGUGGGGAGCAAACAGG
This 253-nucleotide ribosomal RNA is filed under the name uncultured bacterium. Its description in RNAcentral is "partial 16S ribosomal RNA". It matches the Rfam family "Bacterial small subunit ribosomal RNA", at positions 524 to 776 of the family's 1533-position model. The record is from RNAcentral.